GGUUAACAAAUCAAAAUCCCAAAUAAUUCCUCAACUACAGACCCACAUCCCAGAGGAAUUGAAAUGGAGGAGACGUUGAUGCACAGCAGGAGCAAAGAGGAGAGUGAGAAGGAGGAAGUUCAAACUAUCGCUCAUAAAGACACGUCAAGAUCAGCAGCAGCUGUCUCUCAGCUCCCCCCCCAGCACAAAGCCAAGUACCAUAUGAGGAAGGAGGUAUACUUCUCUGUUAAGUCCAAAGUCGCCGGGAAAUGGCGUGAAUUCGCAGGGGAAAUGAUGCCAGAGGUCAGGAUAUCCGACAGACGAAGGAGAAUGUUGAAGCAGAGUCUAUAGCCCCGCUGUUCAGUUCAUCUGAUGGGAAAAGACCGCCAAAGAAAAGGUUGUGGCUGCUGUUGCUAAACGGAUCAAGGCUCCGCAGCUCUGCAUGGAGCAUCAUUAGCAGCCCCUGAUCCCAGGACCUCACAGGCCUGCCAGGGUCUUAUGUGCACAGAAGUGGUAUAAUGUAGCCUGCUCCCUGUCCGUGGGCAGCGCUUCAAUUCAACUCACCCCACAGCCGCCUCUCCCUCACACUCCUCCAGAAAACAUCCCAAGCCUUGUUGGUGGAGUCCUUCACAUGCUCGCUGAGGGAUCUCCUCAGUCUGGUUUUAACAACCGAGGGAAGCGUCGGCUUCGUCUCGACACAUUAAGAGGCUGCGCUGGACGUCAGGCUUAAAACAAACCAAAGGAGGAAGACAAGCAGGCAGAGGGGCUGACACUUGAUGCAAAAAGCCUGCAUGUAAUUUGUGAAGCAGAACUUUU
This is a long non-coding RNA of Girardinichthys multiradiatus, 795 nucleotides long. RefSeq lists it as uncharacterized. The transcript is spliced from 6 exons. The record is from RefSeq and is a predicted model, not a curated record. NCBI's taxonomy places the organism in Eukaryota, Metazoa, Chordata, Actinopteri, Cyprinodontiformes, Goodeidae.